Molecule: ribosomal RNA, 301 nt
Filed under: uncultured bacterium
Lineage: Bacteria
Description: partial 16S ribosomal RNA
Rfam family: Bacterial small subunit ribosomal RNA
Source: RNAcentral
CAGCCGCCGCGGUAAUACGUAGGGUGCGAGCGUUAAUCGGAAUUACUGGGCGUAAAGCGUGCGCAGGCGGUUAUAUAAGACAGAUGUGAAAUCCCCGGGCUCAACCUGGGACCUGCAUUUGUGACUGUAUAGCUAGAGUACGGUAGAGGGGGAUGGAAUUCCGCGUGUAGCAGUGAAAUGCGUAGAUAUGCGGAGGAACACCUAUGGCGAAGGCAAUCCCCUGGACCUGUACUGACGCUCAUGCACGAAAGCGUGGGGAGCAAACAGGAUUAGAUACCCCCGUAGUCCCUGUCUCUUAUAC